CAGCUGUUGCCUGUUCAUAUCCAGCCCCUGUAUUGGGGUCAAGAUCUGGCCUGUUCUCAAUGCAGCAAGAUCCAGGCAGAUCACACUGGACUCCCAGCACUGAAUCUGGCUCAAGGGGACAUCAAAUUUGACUGGGUCGUGGGGCUCAGGAGCAUCACUCUCAAAAAUAGUGGUACAGGAAGAGGCGAUGACCCUAAACAGCAUUUGCAGGCAGAUCCCAUGUUAAUAAUAAGGGUCAGGACUCUCUCACUUUUCUGUCUCUCUCUCUGUCUCUCCUCUAGGGCUGACCCCACAUUGGACACCACUGCAUCCAUGUCCAUCACACACCACAGCUGCCUUUUCUUCUGCCUGCUUAUGGGAAAGUCCCCUCCUCUCCUCCGUUUUCUUCUCUUCCUGCCCUAUCACACCGUGCACUUCUCCCUUUCCUUAAAGAACCACCAUCAACUUUAGGAGGAGGGAAAGGGGUGGCUCUGGCAGGAAAAGCCAGAAUCCCCUCUAGCCAGCAGAGAGAGAGGAAUGGCUGCAUGUUUUCUCCCCCAAUCCAAGGCACUAGGUUUUGGCUAGGUUGCAGGUUCCAAGCUGCUCUCCUGCUGUGUCGGUGAGUUCUGGUUAACCUGCAACCUCCUGAUGUGGCCACUGCAGUUCAUCGAGUCUUCAGGGACUCCCCAUGGCCUGGAGUACUUUGCCUUGCUUACACGGGAGAGGAGAAUGGAUUUAUAGAGAACAUCAUCUAAAUCCAACUUGACCAUUGUGUGGCCACACUUGCUAGAUUGCUUUAGUCUAAAUCUAGCAUUGUAGAAAGACGGGGGAGCUUGGAGCUGCACAAACCCAGGUCUGGAACUGGCUCCUUACCUUGAAAGGUGAAUAAUCCUGGCAGGACUCUUAGCCUUCCUGGGCCUCAGUUUCUUUAUCUGUUUCUUGGGAAGGAGGAUCUCUGCUGGUUGGUUGGGUGAUGUGGGGGCUGUGUGAAAACAACUUGUCAAUACAAGCCAAAACAGGAAUAUUUCUCCACAGAGUAUGAAGGUCAAAUGAGAGAAUACAUUUAAAUUAAACGGAAAAUUAAAAUGGCAAAAAAGGCAAAGCUGUAUUGAAAGUUCUGAGCUUCUCUAUAAGGAGCUUUUUGACUAUGUAAGAAUCCUAUACUCGUUCCCCCUAAAUAUAAAAAAAAAAGUUGAAGGAGGCAGAAGGGAGAGUGAUGCACGAUGGGCGAGGACUUCACCUGCUGUUGCUGGCUUUGAGGAUGGAGGAAGGAGGCCACAAACCCAGAAGCUGGAGCCCCUAGAAGCUAGAAAACGCAGGGACCUGAUUCAUCCCUUGAGCCUCCAGAAGGGACAUAGCCCCACCAGCACCUUGACUUUAGCCCAGUGAGAUCCUCUUAGGACUUUUGGCAACCAGAACUAUAAGACGGAAAUGGAAGCCACUGAGUCUGUAGCUGUUUGCUGCAGCAGCAAUAGAAAACUAAUGCAGAGCCCAAGAAAUCACUGGUGAUGAGAUGGGGAAGUGGGCUCAGGAGGUCUGGAUCUGUGAUGAGAUGGGGAAAGUGGGGGAGGUCUGGAUCUGUGAUGAGAUGGGGAAAGUGGGCUCAGGAGGUCUGGAUCUGUGAUGAGAUGGGGGAAGUGGGCUCAGGAGGUCUGGAUCUGAGUUGGGGAUCUGGAGUGGAAGGGGAAUUCAUUUGUUCAUUGUCUAUCCUUUUGCAUUGAUUCAGUUUUUUUUCCAUAUAUAUAUAUGUGAAUUUCACAAUAAAAGUUUUUUCCAAAAUAAAAGAAACAAAAGGGGCUUUUUGCAACUCAAUUCCUAUCUAUGUCUGAGUCCACUUGUAUUGAAUGAGUCUUUCUGCUAACGUCCUUAUAUUUGGGUGACAAUCUGAAUGUCAGUGACCAAUCAGAGCAGAGGCAGACCUUGGAGUGGGCAGGGCAUCCUGAGGGCCCUGAUUCCUGCCAUGAGGCAUAACCCUUUAGGUGCCAGACCAUGGGGAGGUCCAGGGGUUGCAGGGGAGGGCUGUGCAUCUGCAAUGACUCUCAGGGGGCUCCCGGUGGUGGCAAUUGGUGAAUCUGCACGGUGGUGUUUCAAUAUUGUCACAGCCCUGCUGUCUCUCAUGCUCUCAAAAAGCAUUUCUCUUACCUGUGACAGACUUCCUAUACCUAACAGCUUGCAAAAAUGUUCCAGGUUAACGAGAAUAAUCUCUCGGAGCCAUACCUACCUGCUUGGGGUCUCAGUUUCCCCAACUGUCUCCAGACAAGUUAGGCUAGAAGGCCCCUGAGCCUCAGCCCCUCUAUACCCCUCCUGUCACCCAGACCUGAUCUGGGGCUUGCACCCUGGGUGCAGCAUGACAGGGGUGGGCAGGGGCUGGCUCUGGGCCAGAGGACCCUUUCUGAUGGACUUCAGCUGUUGGCCUUCCAGGGGAGACUGAUCAACCUCACAAGAGUCAUACGGUGAGUAGCGGUGGGCAAAUCCAUCCCCCUCAUCUUAGAUUUAUGGGGAGACAGAGAGAAAGAGGAGACACUCCAGGAAGACCUGCAGGUGGGAGUACCAGGUUGAAACCAAGGACACCUUCCUGGAGGAGCUGCUGUUUGAGCCAGCUCUGAGAACAGGUGGGGACAGGACUGGAGAGGAGAAGGGUGUCCCCUAUGAGCAAAGACUGGCCACCACCCAAUCUAACACCCCCACAGGGCCCCUGUGGCAUCCCUGUCCAGUCCCUGUCACCACCCAGUUUUUCCCUCUGGACCCAGGAAUUCAAAGUAAGCAAGGAGGUCCGCUGCUCCAGUUGGCUGCAUAUAAUUACAACCUUGAGCCCAAGCAGCACUUUGGGUCCUGGUUUGGGACCAUGAAGCGGCUCGGUGAGACUGAGAGGUAAGGCCAGGGCAGGAAUUGGGAUAGUGGGAUUGAACUCUCCCUGGGGGCCAGCCUCAGAAAGCCUGUGGCCAUGGCCUCUUGGUCAACAUCAGAUCCUGUGGUCUGGCAAUGCCUGGGGUACCCAGACCUCACUCUGGACAGGCCCUGGGAGGGGGCCCUGGUGAGAUUCCUGGCAGCCUCACAGCCACUCUUCUGUCCAUAGCUACAACAUGUCAUGCCAGCUGGAGGCUCCAUCCCAGUUGGCUGGGAGCACAAAGGCCAGGAAGAUAGACAUCACCCACCACAGGAGCCAGUCGGGUCCUGAACCAGGGCGGGCAGAGGUUGGCUGCCUUGGGAUAUGGGUGGGCUCAGGGAGUCAGACAGCAAGGGACUAGCCUCCCAUCCUACUGCUGACCAGCCCUGUGACUGGGGAGAGUCACCUUACUUCUCUGGGCCUCAGUUUCCCCCUCUGUGGAGUGACACUAAAUGAUCUCUCUGGAGACUGGGAUCAAUAGGGCACUGGUGAUUGACCAGGCACUCAGCACAUGCCUGGAGCACACGGUGCAGGGCUGUGGUGGGGAGGUGGCCUGAGUUCCUGGGGAGUCACCCAUGUGUGCCUGCCGUUCUGACCAGCCACCAGGCACUCAGGGCAGAGCCCACUACCAGCAGCAGCUCACACCCCGAUACCAGCUCAGAGGCGGCCCCUAGCUCAGCAGCAGGGACAUCACGGACACUUUAAGCUGCUACUAGGGUGGCUUCUCCAGCUCCCACGUGGAGAGGGGUCCCAGCUGAGUCCCACUCACGUGGAGUCUCAUGCCCAUGAAA
This 3657-nucleotide long non-coding RNA is filed under the name Homo sapiens (human). RNAcentral describes it as "HSALNT0379729". The record is from RNAcentral. Lineage: Eukaryota; Metazoa; Chordata; Mammalia; Primates; Hominidae.